UACGUAGGGUGCAAGCGUUGUCCGGAAUUAUUGGGCGUAAAGAGCUCGUAGGCGGUCUGUCGCGUCGGCUGUGAAAACACGGGGCUCAACUCCGUGCCUGCAGUCGAUACGGGCAGACUAGAGUUCGGUAGGGGAGACUGGAAUUCCUGGUGUAGCGGUGAAAUGCGCAGAUAUCAGGAGGAACACCGGUGGCGAAGGCGGGUCUCUGGGCCGAUACUGACGCUGAGGAGCGAAAGCGUGGGGAGCGAACAGG
RNAcentral lists this ribosomal RNA (253 nucleotides) under uncultured bacterium. RNAcentral describes it as "partial 16S ribosomal RNA". It matches the Rfam family "Bacterial small subunit ribosomal RNA", at positions 524 to 776 of the family's 1533-position model. The record is from RNAcentral.